Molecule: ribosomal RNA, 662 nt
Filed under: uncultured bacterium
Lineage: Bacteria
Description: bacterial SSU rRNA
Rfam family: Bacterial small subunit ribosomal RNA
Source: RNAcentral
AGAGUUUGAUUAUGGCUCAGGAUGAACGCUAGCGGCAGGCUUAACACAUGCAAGUCGAGGGGCAGCAUGGGGAGUAGCAAUACUCUCUGAUGGCGACCGGCGCAAGGGUGCGUAACGCGUGAGCAACUUGCCCUCAUCAGGGGAAUAAUCGCUGGAAACGGCGUCUAAUGCCCCAUGGCGAUGGAAUCAGGCAUCUGGUUCCAUCUAAAGAUCCGUCGGAUGAGGAUAGGCUCGCGUGACAUUAGCUUGACGGCGGGGUAACGGCCCACCGUGGCGACGAUGUCUAGGGGUUCUGAGAGGAAGGUCCCCCACACUGGAACUGAGACACGGUCCAGACUCCUACGGGAGGCAGCAGUGAGGAAUAUUGGUCAAUGGCCGGAAGGCUGAACCAGCCAUGCCGCGUGAAGGUCAGUGCCCUAUGGGCGUUAAACUUCUUUUGUGCGGGAGCAAUAAGGUCCACGUGUGGACCGACGAGAGUACCGUACGAAUAAGCAUCGGCUAACUCCGUGCCAGCAGCCGCGGUAAUACGGGGGAUGCAAGCGUUAUCCGGAUUUAUUGGGUUUAAAGGGUGCGUAGGCUGUGAGGUAAGUCAGCGGUGAAAUGCCCCCGCUCAACGGGGUGAAGUGCCAUUGAUACUGCCUUGCUGGAAUGCGGAUGCCGUG